CCGGGCGUUCCGUCGCCCGUAGUCUAUUGGUGCAUGCGGGGCUGGUAACGGCGCCGUGUGAAGCCACCGAGACAAUGUAGCCCGGCGCAAGCUAAGCCGUGGUCGUGAGACGACGGUGCCCCUGCGAGUGGCAAUGCGGAGGGGGCG
RNAcentral lists this non-coding RNA (147 nucleotides) under Paraburkholderia sp. BL6665CI2N2. The record is from RNAcentral. Lineage: Bacteria; Pseudomonadati; Pseudomonadota; Betaproteobacteria; Burkholderiales; Burkholderiaceae.